AGAGUUUGAUCAUGGCUCAGGAUAAACGCUGGCGGCGUGCCUAAUACAUGCAAGUCGAACGAGGAGCUUUUGUAGCAAUACGGAGGCUUCCUAGUGGCGAAUGGGUGAGUAACGCGUUGGUGACCUGCCCCGAAGUGAGGAAUAACAGUUCGAAAGGACUGCUAAUACCCCAUGUGGUUAUUGGAUUUAGAAACUAAUAUCUAAAGGAGCAAUCCGCUUCGGGAGGGACCUGCGUCCCAUCAGCUAGUUGGUAGGGUAACGGCCUACCAAGGCGACGACGGGUAGGGGGCCUGAGAGGGUGGCCCCCCACACUGGCACUGAAACACGGGCCAGACACCUACGGGUGGCAGCAGUAGGGAAUAUUGCACAAUGGGCGAAAGCCUGAUGCAGCAACGCCGCGUGCGCGAUGAAGGUCUUCGGAUCGUAAAGCGCUUUUUGAGGAGAUGAGGAAGGACAGUAUCCUUAGAAUAAGGAUCGGCUAACUACGUGCCAGCAGCCGCGGUAAAACGUAGGAUCCGAGCGUUAUCCGAAUUUACUGGGCGUAAAGCGCGUGCAGGCGGUUUGGUAAGUUGGAUGUGAAAGCUCCUGGCUCAACUGGGAGAGGCCGUUCAAAACUACCAGACUAGAGGACGGUAGAGGGAGGUGGAAUUCCCGGUGUAGUGGUGAAAUGCGUAGAUAUCGGGAGGAACACCAGUGGCGAAGGCGGCCUCCUGGACCGUUCCUGACGCUCAGACGCGAAAGCUAGGGGAGCGAACGGGAUUAGAAACCCCGGUAGUCCUAGCCGUAAACGAUGUAGACUUGGCGUCGGUGGGGUAAAAGCCAUCGGUGCCGAAGCUAACGCGUUAAGUCUACCGCCUGGGGACUACGGCCGCAAGGUUAAAACUCAAAGGAAUUGACGG
Molecule: ribosomal RNA, 899 nt
Filed under: uncultured bacterium
Lineage: Bacteria
Description: bacterial SSU rRNA
Rfam family: Bacterial small subunit ribosomal RNA
Source: RNAcentral